Tachysurus fulvidraco (yellow catfish) is the source of this 459-nucleotide non-coding RNA. The record is from the annotation of a RefSeq genome assembly. NCBI's taxonomy places the organism in Eukaryota, Metazoa, Chordata, Actinopteri, Siluriformes, Bagridae.
CUAGGCAGAGUUUUGUGUUACUUUACUCUAGUAAUCUUCAUUCCAUAUUCCUGCAGUCAGACACUGAUCGAGUCUGAUCCAGUGAUCAUCAAACCUGAUCAGUCUCAUAAACUGACCUGCACAGCCUCUGGAUUUACCUUUAGUAGCUAUUACAUGGCUUGGAUCAGACAGGCGCCUGGAAAAGGGCUGGAAUGGCUUGCAACUAUCCACGGCAGUAGCAUAUAUUACUCUAAUGCUGUUAAGGGCCGCUUCACCAUCUCCAGAGACGACAGUAAGAUGCAGGUGUAUCUACAGAUGAACAGCAUGAGGACAGAAGACACGGCAGUUUAUUACUGCGCUCGACAGUGGGAGAGAGCAGUGUGUAGAGUGAAAGCAAUAGCAUCGUCUGUGGAACGGUUGCUGCGGUAUGCAAACUGUAGCGGAUCAGCUUCAAAAGAAGACAUGAGAUCUAAUGAGUAA